This 504-nucleotide ribosomal RNA is filed under the name uncultured bacterium. RNAcentral's name for it is "bacterial SSU rRNA". It matches the Rfam family "Bacterial small subunit ribosomal RNA", at positions 21 to 507 of the family's 1533-position model. The record is from RNAcentral.
GGCUCAGGAUGAACGCUGGCGGCGUGCCUAAUACAUGCAAGUCGAACGCACAGCGAAAGGUGCUUGCACCUUUCAAGUGAGUGGCGAACGGGUGAGUAACACGUGGAUAACCUACCUCAAGGUUGGGGAUAACAUUUGGAAACAGAUGCUAAUACCGAAUAAAACUUCGUAUCGCAUGAUACAAGGUUAAAAGGCGCUACGGCGUCACCUAGAGAUGGAUCCGCGGUGCAUUAGUUAGUUGGUGGGGUAAAGGCCUACCAAGACAAUGAUGCAUAGCCGAGUUGAGAGACUGAUCGGCCACAUUGGGACUGAGACACGGCCCAAACUCCUACGGGAGGCUGCAGUAGGGAAUCUUCCACAAUGGGCGAAAGCCUGAUGGAGCAACGCCGCGUGUGUGAUGAAGGCUUUCGGGUCGUAAAGCACUGUUGUAUGGGAAGAACAGCUAGAGUAGGGAAUGACUUUAGUUUGACGGUACCAUACCAGAAAGGGACGGCUAAAUACGUG